AAUAGAUACCCAGGUAGUCCACGCCGUAAACGAUGAGUGCUAAGUGUUAGAGGGUUUCCGCCCUUUAGUGCUGCAGCUAACGCAUUAAGCACUCCGCCUGGGGAGUACGGCCGCAAGGCUGAAACUCAAAGGAAUUGACGGGGGCCCGCACAAGCGGUGGAGCAUGUGGUUUAAUUCGAAGCAACGCGAAGAACCUUACCAGGUCUUGACAUCCUCUGCCAACCCUAGAGAUAGGGCGUUCCCCUUCGGGGGACAGAGUGACAGGUGGUGCAUGGUUGUCGUCAGCUCGUGUCGUGAGAUGUUGGGUUAAGUCCCGCAACGAGCGCAACCCUUGAUCUUAGUUGCCAGCAUUCAGUUGGGCACUCUAAGGUGACUGCCGGCGACAAACCGGAGGAAGGUGGGGAUGACGUCAAAUCAUCAUGCCCCUUAUGACCUGGGCUACACACGUGCUACAAUGGAUGGUACAAAGAGCUGCGAACCCGCGAGGGUAAGCGAAUCUCAUAAAGCCAUUCUCAGUUCGGAUUGU
RNAcentral lists this ribosomal RNA (526 nucleotides) under uncultured bacterium. RNAcentral's name for it is "bacterial SSU rRNA". It matches the Rfam family "Bacterial small subunit ribosomal RNA", at positions 777 to 1301 of the family's 1533-position model. The record is from RNAcentral.